This 228-nucleotide ribosomal RNA is filed under the name uncultured bacterium. Its description in RNAcentral is "partial 16S ribosomal RNA". It matches the Rfam family "Bacterial small subunit ribosomal RNA", at positions 568 to 795 of the family's 1533-position model. The record is from RNAcentral.
UCCGUAGGCGGGCUAAUAAGUCAGGGGUGAAAUACCACAGCUCAACUGUGGAACUGCCUUUGAUACUGUUAGUCUUGAGUUAUAUGGAAGUAGAUAGAAUGUGUAGUGUAGCGGUGAAAUGCAUAGAUAUUACACAGAAUACCGAUUGCGAAGGCAGUCUACUACGUAUAUACUGACGCUAAUGGACGAAAGCGUGGGGAGCGAACAGGAUUAGAUACCCUGGUAGUC